Molecule: transfer RNA, 74 nt
Filed under: bacterium
Lineage: Bacteria
Also listed under: 3 other names
Description: tRNA-Arg
Rfam family: tRNA
About the family: Transfer RNA (tRNA) molecules are approximately 80 nucleotides in length. Their secondary structure includes four short double-helical elements and three loops (D, anti-codon, and T loops).
Source: RNAcentral
GGGGUUGUAGCUCAAAAGGAUAGAGCGUUGCCCUCCUAAGGCAAAGGUUGCCGGUUCGAUUCCGGCCAACCCCA